This 487-nucleotide ribosomal RNA is filed under the name uncultured bacterium. RNAcentral describes it as "bacterial SSU rRNA". It matches the Rfam family "Bacterial small subunit ribosomal RNA", at positions 43 to 524 of the family's 1533-position model. The record is from RNAcentral.
CCAGCCUAACACAUGCCACUCGAGCGGAUGAUGGGAGCUUGCUCCCGGUAUUCAGCGGCGGACGGGUGAGUAAUGCCUAGGAAUCUGCCUGGUAGUGGGGGACAACGUUUCGAAAGGAACGCUACUACCCCCCCCGUCCUACGGGAGAAAGCAGGGGACCUUCGGGCCUUGCGCUAUCAGAUGAGCCUAGGUCGGAUUAGCUUGUUGGUGAGGUAAUGGCUCACCAAGGCGACGAUCCGUAACUGGUCUGAGAGGAUGAUCAGUCACACUGGAACUGAGACACGGUCCAGACUCCUACGGGAGGCAGCAGUGGGGAAUAUUGGACAAUGGGCGAAAGCCUGAUCCAGCCAUGCCGCGUGUGUGAAGAAGGUCUUCGGAUUGUAAAGCACUUUAAGUUGGGAGGAAGGGUUGUAGAUUAAUACUCUGCAAUUUUGACGUUACCGACAGAAUAAGCCCCGGCUAACUCUGUGCCAGCAGCCGCGGUAAU